GAUGAACGCUGGCGGCGUGCCUAAUACAUGCAAGUCGAGCGAACAGACGAGGAGCUUGCUCCUCUGACGUUAGCGGCGGACGGGUGAGUAACACGUGGAUAACCUACCUAUAAGACUGGGAUAACUUCGGGAAACCGGAGCUAAUACCGGAUAAUAUAUUGAACCGCAUGGUUCAAUAGUGAAAGACGGUUUUGCUGUCACUAAUAGAUGGUUCCGCGCCGCAUUAGCUAGUUGGUAAGGUAACGGCUUACCAAGGCAACGAUGCGUAGCCGACCUGAGAGGGUGAUCGGCCACACUGGAACUGAGACACGGUCCAGACUCCUACGGGAGGCAGCAGUAGGGAAUCUUCCGCAAUGGGCGAAAGCCUGACGGAGCAACGCCGCGUGAGUGAUGAAGGUCUUCGGAUCGUAAAACUCUGUUAUUAGGGAAGAACAAAUGUGUAAGUAACUAUGCACGUCUUGACGGUACCUAAUCAGAAAGCCACGGCUAACUACGUG
RNAcentral lists this ribosomal RNA (497 nucleotides) under uncultured bacterium. RNAcentral's name for it is "partial 16S ribosomal RNA". It matches the Rfam family "Bacterial small subunit ribosomal RNA", at positions 28 to 507 of the family's 1533-position model. The record is from RNAcentral.